CACAUUGUCAUUAAAAUCAGACGUCCGCCCUCUGUUUACUGUCCCCUUUCUUUCCUCCAUUCUCAGAUACUGUUUCAACAGCUACUCCAUAACUCGAGAAUGAUAUUUGGACUCACUUUCUCUUCAAUAGUCCUGGACAACUGCACUUCAAUUUAAAACACAUUGCAGCUCAACUCUACUACUAGAUAGUCUUUGAAGGUUCAUAGUGCUUUUCUGACAGGCGGAGAUAGCAAAAGUUUUCAACCUGCACAUUUAACCAUCUGGUCACUUUCAGGAUCAGUGGAAACACUCCUUGUAUACAUCAUUGUCGUGGAACCCAAUAUGUCAUCUCCAAAACCACAUGCUUUGAAGAACAACCU
This 359-nucleotide unclassified non-coding RNA is filed under the name Hevea brasiliensis (rubber tree). Lineage: Eukaryota; Viridiplantae; Streptophyta; Magnoliopsida; Malpighiales; Euphorbiaceae. The record is from RNAcentral.